This 253-nucleotide ribosomal RNA is filed under the name uncultured prokaryote. Its description in RNAcentral is "partial 16S ribosomal RNA". It matches the Rfam family "Bacterial small subunit ribosomal RNA", at positions 524 to 776 of the family's 1533-position model. The record is from RNAcentral.
GACAGAGGGUGCAAGCGUUGUUCGGAAUCAUUGGGCGUAAAGGGCGCGUAGGCGGUUUGAUAAGUCAGAUGUGAAAGCCCAGGGCUCAACCUUGGAAGUGCAUCUGAAACUGUCGAACUAGAGUCUCGGAGAGGGUGGUGGAAUUCCCAGUGUAGAGGUGAAAUUCGUAGAUAUUGGGAAGAACACCGGUGGCGAAGGCGGCGACCUGGUCCUUGACUGACGCUGAGGCGCGAAAGCGUGGGGAGCAAACAGG